Molecule: ribosomal RNA, 472 nt
Filed under: uncultured bacterium
Lineage: Bacteria
Description: bacterial SSU rRNA
Rfam family: Bacterial small subunit ribosomal RNA
Source: RNAcentral
ACUCCUACGGGAGGCAGCAGUGGGGAAUAUUGCACAAUGGGGGAAACCCUGAUGCAGCCAUGCCGCGUGUGUGAAGAAGGCCUUCGGGUUGUAAAGCACUUUCAGUAGGGAGGAAGGUAGUGUAGUUAACACCUGCACUAUUUGACGUUACCUACAGAAGAAGCACCGGCUAACUCCGUGCCAGCAGCCGCGGUAAUACGGAGGGUGCGAGCGUUAAUCGGAAUUACUGGGCGUAAAGCGCAUGCAGGCGGCCUGUUAAGUCAGAUGUGAAAGCCCGGGGCUUAACCUCGGAAUUGCAUUUGAAACUGGCAGGCUAGAGUCUUGUAGAGGGGGGUAGAAUUUCAGGUGUAGCGGUGAAAUGCGUAGAGAUCUGAAGGAUACCAGUGGCGAAGGCGGCCCCCUGGACAAAGACUGACGCUCAGAUGCGAAAGCGUGGGGAGCAAACAGGAUUAGAUACCCUGGUAGCACAGAG